Molecule: non-coding RNA, 79 nt
Filed under: unclassified sequences
Description: DUF3085 RNA
Rfam family: DUF3085 RNA
Source: RNAcentral
CGGUAGCUGGACCCACCGGGCUCUCACGAGCCGAACCCAGCCAUCAAAGUCCGUUCAGGACUUCAUCAACCCUAGCGGG